GAGGGUAGAAGUACGAAUGCUUCUUUUGAGGUGCCAAAUCUUUUGUUCUUGGCAAUAAUUCAUACGUGGUGUAAUUGGCAAAGGAGAUCCUAAUUGAUUAACAACAAAGGGACACAGCAUAAUUUAAGAGGACAAAGGCAGAAAUCAAGACCCACAUAUGAACGAAUUAAAGCUUCAUCGCCUUAGAUUGGACAAAAUAAGAUUUUUCUCAAAACAAUAAU
RNAcentral lists this long non-coding RNA (221 nucleotides) under Elaeis guineensis (African oil palm). RNAcentral describes it as "long non-coding RNA (EGUI_LNC017422)". Lineage: Eukaryota; Viridiplantae; Streptophyta; Magnoliopsida; Arecales; Arecaceae. The record is from RNAcentral.